UACGUAAGUGGCGAGCGUUGUCCGGAAUUACUGGGCGUAAAGGGCAGGUAGGCGGUUUCGCAAGUCUGAGGUGAAAUCCCAGGGCCUAACCCUGGAACUGCCUUGGAAACUGCGAGGCUGGAGGGCCAGAGGGGAAAGUGGAAUUUCGGGUGUAGCGGUGAAAUGCGUAGAUAUCCGAGAGAACACCAAUGGCGAAGGCAGCUUUCUGGCUGGUGCCUGACGCUGAACUGCGAAAGCUAGGGGAGCGAACGGG
RNAcentral lists this ribosomal RNA (253 nucleotides) under uncultured bacterium. RNAcentral describes it as "partial 16S ribosomal RNA". It matches the Rfam family "Bacterial small subunit ribosomal RNA", at positions 524 to 776 of the family's 1533-position model. The record is from RNAcentral.